AGAAAGCAAACCGCCGGGCUCCGGUCCGGUAAGGGUGAAAGGGUGCGGUAAGAGCGCACCGCGCGGCCGGUAACGGGCGCGGCAAGGCAAACCCCACCGGGAGCAAAACCGAAUAGGGGCGGCAUUUCAGGCCUGGCCUGAGAACCCGUUUCCGGGCGGCCGCCCGGGUUGGUUGCUCGAGGCGUCCGGUAACGGGCGUCCCAGAUGAAUGGCCAUCACCCGCAAGGGUACAGAACCCGGCUUACAGGCCAUCUGACACC
This 260-nucleotide RNase P RNA is filed under the name Parvibaculum sp. RNAcentral's name for it is "partial RNase P RNA component class A". It matches the Rfam family "Bacterial RNase P class A", at positions 116 to 367 of the family's 367-position model. Rfam says of the family: Ribonuclease P (RNase P) is a ubiquitous endoribonuclease, found in archaea, bacteria and eukarya as well as chloroplasts and mitochondria. The record is from RNAcentral. Lineage: Bacteria; Pseudomonadati; Pseudomonadota; Alphaproteobacteria; Hyphomicrobiales; Parvibaculaceae.